RNAcentral lists this ribosomal RNA (546 nucleotides) under uncultured bacterium. RNAcentral's name for it is "partial 16S ribosomal RNA". It matches the Rfam family "Bacterial small subunit ribosomal RNA", at positions 355 to 892 of the family's 1533-position model. The record is from RNAcentral.
UGGGGAAUUUUGGACAAUGGGCGAAAGCCUGAUCCAGCAAUGCCGCGUGUGUGAAGAAGGCCUUCGGGUUGUAAAGCACUUUUGUCCGGAAAGAAAUGGCUCUGGUUAAUACCUGGGGUCGAUGACGGUACCGGAAGAAUAAGGACCGGCUAACUACGUGCCAGCAGCCGCGGUAAUACGUAGGGUCCAAGCGUUAAUCGGAAUUACUGGGCGUAAAGCGUGCGCAGGCGGUUGUGCAAGACCGAUGUGAAAUCCCCGAGCUUAACUUGGGAAUUGCAUUGGUGACUGCACGGCUAGAGUGUGUCAGAGGGGGGUAGAAUUCCACGUGUAGCAGUGAAAUGCGUAGAGAUGUGGAGGAAUACCGAUGGCGAAGGCAGCCCCCUGGGAUAACACUGACGCUCCAUGCACGAAAGCGUGGGGAGCAAACAGGAUUAGAUACCCUGGUAGUCCACGCCCUAAAACGAUGUCAACUAGUUGUUGGGGAUUCAUUUCCUUAGUAACGUAGCUAACGCGUGAAGUUGACCGCCUGGGGAGUACGGUCGCAAG